This 467-nucleotide ribosomal RNA is filed under the name uncultured bacterium. RNAcentral describes it as "partial 16S ribosomal RNA". It matches the Rfam family "Bacterial small subunit ribosomal RNA", at positions 29 to 507 of the family's 1533-position model. The record is from RNAcentral.
ACGAACGCUGGCGGCGUGCUUCACCCAUGCCAGUCGCACGGAAAGGCCCUGCUUUUGUGGGGUGCCCGAGUGGCGAACGGGUGAGUAACACGUGAGUAACCUGCCCUUGACUUUGGGAUAACUUCAGGAAACCGGGGCUAAUACCGGAUAGGAGCUCCUGCCGCAUGGUGGGGGUUGGAAAGUUUCGGCGGUUGGGGAUGGACUCGCGGCUUAUCAGCUUGUUGGUGGGGUAGUGGCUUACCAAGGCUUUGACGGGUAGCCGGCCUGAGAGGGUGACCGGCCACAUUGGGACUGAGAUACGGCCCAGACUCCUACGGGAGGCAGCAGUGGGGAAUAUUGCACAAUGGGCGGAAGCCUGAUGCAGCAACGCCGCGUGCGGGAUGACGGCCUUCGGGUUGUAAACCGCUUUCGCCUGUGACGAAGCGUGAGUGACGGUAAUGGGUAAAGAAGCACCGGCUAACUACGUG